GCUGCAUCUGGGCUGCAUCUGGGCUGCAGCUGGCUAGUCCUCACACUCAUCAGCCCAGCCCUGCCUUGUCCUACCUCUGUCUCUGAUGGCCGUGCUGGUGCAUCUGCUGCUGCUAUGGCUGCUUCUGAGGGCGACAGUUUGCAAUGAGAGCAGUCCAAGCCAGUGUGGGACAGAUGAGUUCCUAUCUGAGACCUUCUGCUGCCAACUUUGUCCUGCUGGCACCCAUCUCAUUAAAUCAUGCCAGAGGAACCACAGCAAGAGUGAGUGCAUCCCAUGUGAGCUUGAAAACUUCAUGGACUACAAAAACAGGGAGUAUUCCUGCUUCCGCUGCUCUCAUUGCCGGGAUGACCAAGAGGAGGUGUCAGAAUGCUCCCAGACGGCUGAUCGUAAGUGCCAGUGCAAGCAGGGCGCCUACUGUAACUCUGAAAACUGUGUGGAGAAGUGCCUUCCAUGCAGCAGCUGUCCUAAAGACAAAGUCAUCAGGCAAUGCAACGCCACCAUGGACACACUAUGUGACACGUUCGAGUCAAACUCAGGGACGCCAGGUUAUCACCAUCUCUGCCUGUCUGGACCUCUGACUGUUAUAGUUGUCAUAGCUGCUGUCAUCACCAUCAUUGCUGCUAUCAUCGCCGUCAUUUGGUGUGUUUUAAAAAGAGUUCUUUCUUCAUCCACUGCACCAGGGAGUCUAAAUUCACCACGUGUUCCAGGAGAGGAGAUUCAGCUCUUGCCUGUGGAGGCCAGAAGAGGAUGCUGGAUCCCUUGGAACUGGAGUUACUGAUCCAUCCUGCAGAUGCUGGGAACUGAACCUAGGCUCCCUAGAUGAGCAGCCACCUCCAAUAUGCUACAAAAUUCUCAUGAGUAAACAGAUGGCAUUCCUGAAGCUCACUGGACUUAAGGACAUUGAUAUUCCUGAGCAUGGAAGUAGAAGCUUGGUUGUACUUGUGGAAUAUCCAUUUACACUAUGUGAAUGUAUGUCAUUGGUUUAAUAAAGAAGCUAAGUGGUCAAUAGGUGGACAAGUAGAGGUUAGGUGGGAGGGCCAAAUGAAGAGGAUGCUGGGAAGAAGGGCAGAGUCUGGGAGUUGUGAGCAGAAGCAAAGAAAAGCAUGAUGAGCAUGCUGUGCCACGUGACAAAGCAUAGAUGAGAAAUUUGGGUUAAUUUAUAAUGAAAGAGUUAGCUAGUAACAAGCCUGAGCUAUUGGCUAAACAUUUAUAACUAAUAAUAAGUUUCUGUGUGGUUACUUGGGAGUGACUGGCAGGACAGAAACUUCUGCCUACAGGUACUGUUUCUAAACUUGGGACUGGCCUCCCAGAAACUAAUAAUUUAUAUGUGUUUGCAAGCUGUGACAAUUUAGCUGCUAAAACACAUGUGUGUGCUAGGUCCUCAAGCUAGAGUCAUGUGUCUUUUGAUACAGAAUUGAGACAUUCCAAAUAGCCCAGCUGAGUUUGAAGCUGGCACCCAUCCCACUGCAUACCCCGUGAACUCCAGAUAUGUGAUGUGCCCUUUUCUUGUGUAAAGCACAUCAGUCCUGUGUGUGGCUAGAGGACUUCCCUCCUUGAUGCCCACUGUGGCCUUAGGAUAUAAGGCUUUGUACUCUGAACUUGUCAAUUAGAGCCAGUUUGGGAUCAUGGUGCUUGGAAUGCCUUUCUAGGGGCCAAGGUUAGGAGGACCCAAAUGUUCUUUGAGCCACCAUGCCCCUGCAGUCUAUAGCAGGGUGUGACCCAGGUAAGAUGCUUUGUUAUACAGAUAAGCUCACAAGAAAGACUCCUGGCAGGCCUGCCUGAGCAACUAUGGACUCUGCCACACUGGGCACUGGGAACACAGUCUGUGCUUUUAGGCAUCCAACCCCCAGGCAUCUGCCUAAGAACUAGCCUUAGACUUGAUUCCUCUCAAACUACAGUGAGCAUGUAUGAAUGAGAAUUACUCAGAAGAAGCUGUAUCUGAUAGAUUCACAACACACCCCCACGAUUGGGCAUGUCUGGUGGACCUAGACACUUCCGCCUAGCCAGUUCCUUGUCAAAAUAGCCAUUUCUGGGCCAAGGCAUCUCGAGUGACCAGGACCCCAUGGCUUUGCAUGGUUGCGUAAGAGCAUGCAACACAACCAUGUGAUCUACGCACAUGUGUGGAGUAGCCACAUUGACCUGUGUACGCGUGCGCCACCUAGCUUUUGUAAGCCAGAGCCAUAUUCCUGGCUUUCUUCUUCUUCUUCUUCUUCUUCUUCUUCUUCUUCUUCUUCUUCUUCUUCUUCUUCUUCUUCUUCUUCUUCUUCACACAUAUGUCUCUUCUGCAGGCCUGAGCACUUGUCUGUCUCUCUUAUCUUAAUAAAACUCUUGUUAGUGGAUCCUGUCAUGUUUCAUGACAUUUCCUUGCAGGGUAAGAGUGCCGCCAAAUAACUAACAGUAUCUAUGUUGGUUGAUUAAUUGAUUAAAAUUUUAGCCAGGCGGUGGUGUCACAAACCUUUAAUCCCAGCACUCAGGAGGCAGAGGCAGGCAGAUUACUUUAAGUUUGCCAGCCUGGUCUACAAAGUGAGUUCCAGGAAAGCCAGGGCUACACAGAGAAACCCUGUCUUGAAAAAACAAAGACUAGAUAGUUAUAGUUGCACUUUUCCUUAGUUAUGAUCGAUUAGGUAUAAAACUUUGAAGUCACAAAGAUGGUAUGGAUGGUGGAGUGUUUUCUCUGAAUUUGCUAAACACAAAUGGACUGAAUAUUGUAAAUCUAAUUCUUACCUGAUAAUGGU
This is an RNA transcript of Peromyscus maniculatus bairdii (prairie deer mouse), 2735 nucleotides long. It is a transcript of the gene named tumor necrosis factor receptor superfamily member 26-like, with no coding region annotated. The record is from RefSeq and is a predicted model, not a curated record. Lineage: Eukaryota; Metazoa; Chordata; Mammalia; Rodentia; Cricetidae.